UCAAGCUGACACGCAUGCGCUCCAAGCUCACUUUUGUUUUGCUUGUCGCUUGUCUGCCGCCAUAUUGUGUUUGUGUUCGAGAUAACCGCGUUUGCAUAACUUUUCCGCUCCUUCGCCUUUGGUUUUGAGACGCAUAGGCGCUGAAUUUUGGCAGCAGUUUGCUCUCGAGAAUCUGUGCUCCGCGCUGAUGAUGCAGAGGCCUCUUUCCUUCCCAAAGCUGCGGCCGAAGGCUGUGGUGAUGACUUGUUCAUUCUUCAGGGAGCAAAACAGGAGAGCCAGCCAGCGCUUGGAAAAGAGCCGCGUGUCGUUGCCACACGCAUUCCAGAGCUGGACGCCCUUGCCCUGGGUCCUGCUCCUUUCAGAGGCCAACGAGGAAACCCACCAAGAGACCCUGAACCACGCUUGGUUGCUGGUGCGACUUGAAGAUCGCCCUCUGACCUUCACUGAGCAGCAGAAACUCCUUAUAUGUGGAAAUGGAGUUGGUGUGUCAGGAGGCAAAAGGCUUUUCGGAAGAUGGACCAGCAGCUAAUGGCUAAGCUGCAGAAGCUGCGUUGAGAGCUGGUGGCUGCGCGAAUCUGUGAAUAGAUUGGAGGCACUGCAGACUGGGUGCGUGCGCCCGGCUACCUGCAUCACGACUAUAAAAUAAUCCUCUGUUGCUGCUUGCUCCAUAUCUCAAGGGAGACCAGGCCAGCGCCAUCGACGCCCUUCAGAAGUAAACGCAGAGCUAGACUAGCUGUACCCCAAGAAACGCACCAAGGAACUGGAGAAGCCAGCGUUACGGCGCAAUUGGUGUCUAUCCGCUCAGCUCAGCGAGGCCAGUCUCGACUCUCGGCGUCCCCGGCCCUUGAGUCUGGGUUGCCGUCGCUUUCUAGGUCCACCCGUUCAAGUGAACCCCUGGCCAGGGAACAGGCCAAGAAAAUCAGUUCCUCUGAGGCUAAAGCGUGUAGACGUGGCGCCAGUUGAAAAGACUCGACGCCGUCAUUACGUGCUGACCGUGGCGCCAAAAAUUUUCACGACCUUUGAGGGCCUCUUCAACAACUAACUGGUGGCGCCCAACAGGAAGCGUGAGGCCCUCACCCUGGCCGCCACUUCCUGUCGCAAGCUCAACCACGCCCCAGUUUUUUUCCUGGCAUCUGUUGCAUUUGUUGCAUAGGCGCAGAAUGCUAGUUACAGGCAUCCUCGAAGCCAUUUUUAGUAGAAAGUUCCAAUUUUUUUAAAUAAAUUCGCAACCAAUGGCCAUGUCUCUGAAAUUGACCCAUUUUUCAAUUUCAGCUGCGGCUUUGCACAAAGGUGCUGAUGAAGUAGCCAGAUUAGACGUUAUAGACGAACAGUGCUUUAGAGGAGGCGUUGAACCUUUCCUUUUGGCAGAGAUGCUGGAGGACCACGCAAUUGCGCUGCUGCAGCGCCACAUCAUCACAAUUUUUUGUCUUGUACAUUUUCGGUAUGUUUAACCGAGUGGCGCUGGCGCAGGCGGGAGCAGAUAAGAUACAGACUGCGCAGGGCAAAUCCAGCAGGUUGAUGAACUCGCCAUGUUGUCUGUCAAGGCCCGGCGUCAAGGAUGCCGACAAGAGCUUGACGUUUAAGAAGCCUUUGACAACAGCAACAUGGACAAAAUGUCCCCUGAUUUGUUGAAUUUGACCUUUGAAGCUUCAGUUUAUUUUUUGUCAUCAGCAAAUGACUGUAUAAAUAUUUUUAAUUGAAAAAUUCUUUAUUAUAUUUUCAAUUAGACGAAGGCGAAGGCGCAAACUGGCCCAAAAUCUCGUAUAUUCUUCGUUAAUCAAAAUAAUUGGAUAAAGGGUAAGAAGGGGCCAUGUUAAGGAUGGCUGGAAGGUGUUCCUCGCGGUGCUGCCAUACGUGUUGAUGACCAGAGCCCUUGGGCCAUCGAUGCGGAUGUCGAGGAGUUCCGCCUGCUCAAAGUCCAUCUCUUGGUCGGUGAUGUCGGUUGAGGCGAGGCAGCGGCCGCCCCUGCGCUGUUCGCAUCAUCACCCGUAUUACUGAAAUUUCGACUUCUGAAAUCCUGUUAUUACUUUUUUUGUAAUCUUCUUUUCUCAAUACAAAUAUAACUAUUUCAA
This is a long non-coding RNA of Cloeon dipterum, 2072 nucleotides long. RefSeq lists it as uncharacterized. NCBI's taxonomy places the organism in Eukaryota, Metazoa, Arthropoda, Insecta, Ephemeroptera, Baetidae. The transcript is spliced from 5 exons. The record is from RefSeq and is a predicted model, not a curated record.